This 1980-nucleotide long non-coding RNA is filed under the name Mizuhopecten yessoensis (Yesso scallop). RNAcentral's name for it is "uncharacterized LOC110464889". Lineage: Eukaryota; Metazoa; Mollusca; Bivalvia; Pectinida; Pectinidae. The record is from RNAcentral.
GAUUACAAAGGUCUCAGAGUGCCAGGGGGCCGAUGGGGCCGAUUCUAUAUAAAUAGAGUUUGUUGUUUAUUUUGUUGAAUGUUUCUAUAUCAUAUGCCACCUCAUCUUGAUUGCCAUACAAAGUUAUGACGUUGGGUUACAUGACGUAUUUCAACGCGAAAAAUGAUGAUGUAAAAGGUACGUAAUUUUGACGUCAUCUUUAGUCAAAGUGACGUCCUUAUUGUUUGGAAAGCACCUGUAGUAAUGGCCGUUCCAUGGAUGCGGAUGUUUCCACCUGAAUCCGACAGGGGUCCUUGCUUUUAAGAAGCUCCUAGGCCUCUUCAUAUGCCACCCGGGGAUUCUCGGCCAUUUUCAUAUUUCAUGAUUCUUUUUCCCGAGACACUGAUGAAGGAAAUAGUUCGGCACACCAACAGCAUCCUGCCUACGACCCUGCCGCCAGAUUUCGUCCUCUACUUAACUUCGCCAACAGACAGUUCCUGCGCUUCAUCUUACCGAGGAGGGAAUUGUGUGUUGAUGAAUCCUCGGUGAGCACAAAAGGCCAUAGUGUGAUGCGCCAGUACAUCCCCUCCAAGGCCGCGAAGUACGGAGUUAAGUUUUGGAUACUCUGUGAGUCAGCGUCAGGGUACGUUCUUCAAAUGGCCAUAUACAGAGGCCGAAAAUUCGACCCAACUCCGCGGAGGGAGCUACAGGGCAGUAACGUUGUAUACAACCUACUGAGCGAGGCGUCCCUGCUUGACCGUGGUUACCAUGUGUUUGCUGACAGUUUUUUCACUUCGAUGCAUCUUGGAAGAAUGCUGCUGCAGCACCAUACCUAUGGACGGGUACGCUACGGAAAAACAGACCGAUGCCCCUGACUAUACGGAAUGCGGAUCCGCAGCCAGUGGCCGCUGUAUACAUGAGACAGGGCAACUUCCUGUGUCUGACAUCUCGUGAUGUAGAGGGCAAAAAGCCGGUGCUCUACUGCCAGCACAGGACCUUGCGUGUGGGCGUCCUAGAAUGGUCAAUGCGUAUAACCGUGAUAUGGGUGCCAUUGACAUGAAUGAUGGCUUAUUGAGUGCAUAUGGUGUCCAGCGCAAAACCAAGAAAGUCUGGAAAAAGGUGAUUCUACACAUUUUCCACAGAAUUAUGCAAAAUGCAUACAUAUGUUUUGUCAAGAUGUGCACGGAUGAAGGACUGGAAACCGGUUACACUUCCAGAAUUUCGUCAGUUUCUGUCUGUUAUAUUCAACAUGAGCCUUGUAAGGAAAACAAGUACAACAGAAUACGAAGAGGACAUUGUUGUGUAGAACAGUGGCACGUCCCAUUUCGUAUAAACCUUGUAAUUUUCUGUUAGAUUUGUUCUGCAUAUAUGUACUAUAUAUAUAUACGUUUUUUAUGAAAACUUGUUUUCAUAUGUGUUUCAAUCUACGAUUAAUUUUUCUUUGCACAUUAUUUGUUACAUAGAGAGUUAAAUUCCAUAAAACAGAGCUUAGUUUAAUGUUAAAUGAAUUGUACACGGGAUUAAGCACAAGUUUUGUCAACAAUGAGUUGUGGCGCGAGCCUGAUCCGCGGUAGACCUACAUGUACUAGUCGUACCCCUUUUCCUAAGUCAGAGAAAUCAAACGUUGAAAGACAACACUUGCAUCAGUUUUCUAAAAAAAAAACACUCUUACAGAAAGUUCAGAAGAAAAAAAAACAUAGAAAUAUCCAUAAACUUGAAAUUCCACCAAUCAGUAUCAGGAAAGUAGGAAACAGUACUCAGCGUAUAUACAGUUUAUUAUGAUACAUGUUUGCUAAAGUUGCUUAUAUUCGUCUGAAGUGUAACGCCACUAUGUUAACGUUGUUUAUAUUCAGGACCAUCUUUAAUUGUUAUUGUGUUCCCCAGCAUCGUUGGCUCGUUCUGUUAAAUCGGACUUUAGUACUACCGACACAUGGCGAUUUUAGACGUGCGUCUAGCAUUUUAGUUUCCAAUAAUAACGUACUUUAUAAUAGUUGUCAAUGA